UACCUUAAAGCAGUUUUGUGACGAAAGAUGCUAAUAAGUUCCCGAGAGAAUAAUUUACAGUUCAAUCAAAGUUGGUGGCAUUUUUUCUAAGCUUUACUUUUAUAUUUUUUUUAUUUCAAAUAAUAGAAAGUACUUCGAUGAUUGUUUUUACGAAAGAAGUGGUUAUGCUCUUGAUAGCAUUUUCGUCUUUGGGGUAUUUUAAAGGAGCACUUGCAAAACCAAUGUCUGGGACUUUCAAGUUUGCUCCAGAGUAUCUAGUGAUCCGGGAAUCUCUAGUAAAAUCUGCUACAGCUAGCGAUAAAAUGGUAAAAGUUGCAUUUUUGAACACAGAAAAUAUUGGUAAAAUCAACCCAUUCAACAUGGACAGGCUAUUUCAGGAUUCUGAGUAUCAGUCUACAAGUCAUUUAGGUAAAAUAUCACGAGAUCUUGAAGGUGCAAUGCAUGUACUAAAAGGCAGCCCUAGGGGAAAACGAUAUAUUUCUCAGAGACCAAGACCCUGUCUGUUCAAGAUAUGCAGCUUGAUGGGAAAAAGGCCUCAUCCUAGACCCAACAAUAAUAUCUAAAAGAGUUUUUUUCAUGAUAACAAGUUAUUUUAAAGUACAAUAUUGAUUUAACACAAAUUAUUUAAGUUAAUUGUAAUAUAUUUUAUAUCAUAGCAGUAUAUUGAGGUGUUAUUCUGUAAGAUACUUUACGAAUUAUUCUUUACUAACUUUAGUAUUAUUAACAGCAUUAUGAGAUAUUGUAGUUUGUUUUGUUACUAAUUUAUUUAUUUUUAUACCGUAAAAAUAAUCUAACAUUUUUCAGUUUUGUAUAAAAUUUUUUAUAAAAUAUAAAAUAUUUUAUUUUU
Long non-coding RNA from Anthonomus grandis grandis, 847 nucleotides. RefSeq lists it as uncharacterized. The record is from RefSeq and is a predicted model, not a curated record. NCBI's taxonomy places the organism in Eukaryota, Metazoa, Arthropoda, Insecta, Coleoptera, Curculionidae. The transcript is spliced from 3 exons.